Molecule: RNA transcript, 2281 nt
Organism: Lycium ferocissimum
Lineage: Eukaryota; Viridiplantae; Streptophyta; Magnoliopsida; Solanales; Solanaceae
Gene name: serine/threonine protein phosphatase 2A 57 kDa regulatory subunit B' theta isoform-like
Exons: 5
Source: RefSeq, a predicted model, not a curated record
UACACAAAAAACAACAAAUUCUUGCUCACCAAACACAUCAUUAAGGAACACAAAAAACCAGAUAUUUUGUUUCCUUUUAAUCCAUCAACCCCUCUUCUUGUCUUUACUCAUUUGUUCUAUUUUCAGAUUUUUAUCACUGACCCAACUCUGAAAAAUUCAAUCUUUUUUGAGUCCUCAGCUUUACCUUUUAAUGUGAUUCCACUUCAAAAAUAUUAUCUUGUUUCUUGGAUUAUGCCUAGAUCUUAGUCUAUUUCAAGACGACAGGAAAAUUCAUUGGAUUAGUCAGGGACAACUGUGGAUUAUAUAGAACUUAUAAUUUCGUUUAGGCAAGACAGUGAAUUUUGUGAGGUGAAUGAGAUAGCCAAUGGAUUGCUUUCAAUUGGUUUUGCACCUUAGGCCUUUCUGAUUGAUGACACGUCUUCUCUUCUGAGAGUAUUUCAAUCAGUAAAGCAAGUACAGGUUUGCUGGAAAGAGACAAAACAUCUUGUAGUGAUGAUGAAACAGAUACUCAGUAAGCUUCCUAGGAAGCCGUCUUCUAAGUCAGCUGAAAAUCGUGAUGGAGGAAUUUCGACAUUUCCCUCAAAUGCUUCAACUAGUUCUCCGUUUGGGAAUGGAGAUGGACUUCCCCUGGAUGUAAAUAAUGAGGUGAAUGGAACAGAUUCCCUGUAUGAGGCGUUGCCUAGUUUUAGAGAUGUACCAAAUUCUGAUAAACAAAACUUGUUCAUCAAAAAGCUGAACUUAUGUUGUGUCUUGUUUGACUUUACUGAACCUAUGAAAGAUUUGAAGGAAAAAGACAUCAAGCGACAGACCUUGGUGGAGCUAGUUGAUUAUGUUACUUCUGCAGAUGGGAAAUUCACGGAAACUGUCGUACAAGAAACAGUUAAAAUGGUGUCGUUAAACUUAUUCAGGUCUCGUGGUCCUCAACCUCAUGAAAACAAACUAUUGGAAGCUCUUAUCCUGGAAGAAGACGAACCCUUGAUGGACCCCACAUGGCCACACGUGCAAAUUGUGUAUGAGUUGCUUCUCCGGUUCGUGGCAUCACCGGAGACGGAUCCAAAAUUGGCUAAGCGAUACAUUGACCACGCAUUUGUUAUCAAAAUAUUAGAUCUCUUUGAUUCCGAUGAUCCAAGAGAAAGGGAGUACUUAAAAACUGUACUGCACCGAAUGUACGGAAAGUUCAUGGUGCACCGCCCGUUCAUAAGGAAAUCAAUCAACCACAUAUUUUACAGGUCUAUUUUUGAAACUGAGAAGCAUAAUGGAAUAGCAGAACUCUUAGAAAUUUUGGGAAGUAUAAUUAAUGGAUUUGCUCUGCCAUUGAAGGAAGAGCACAAAUUGUUCCUCGUUCGAGCUCUUAUUCCGCUUCAUAAACCAAAGAGUAUACAAAUGUAUCAUCAGCAGUUAUCUUACUGCAUAACACAAUUUUUAGAAAAAGACUGCAAGCUUGCUGAUACUGUUAUAAGAGGUUUGUUGAAAUACUGGCCAAUCACAAACAGUUCAAAGGAGGUAAUGUUCUUAGGUGAACUUGAGGAGGUAUUAGAAGCAACUCAGCCACAAGAAUUCCAGCGUUUUAUGGUUCCAUUGUUUCGUCAAAUGAGCCUUUGUUUGAGCAGCUCACACUUUCAGGUGGCUGAGAGGUCUUUGUUCCUGUGGAACAAUCAUCAUGUUGAGAACCUAAUCAGACAAAAUCGUAAAGUUAUACUGCCAAUAAUCUUCCCUUCCUUGGAGAAGAAUGCUAGAGGCCACUGGAAUCAUGCAGUAAAAAGUUUUACAUUAAACGUUCGCAAAAUUUUCUCCGACAUCGAUGCUGAACUCUUCGAAGGGUGCUUGCAGAAAUUCGAAGAGGAUCAGGCCCGGGAAGAAGAGACAAAAUUGAAACGUGAGACUACAUGGAAAAGAUUAGAAGAAAUCGCUGCAUUGAAUGCUACAAGCAAUGAGUUAGUGCUAGUUUCUUGAAGGAUAGAACUGUACAUAUGCAAUUGCAUGAUCAGAGAACCUCGAGAUUUUUUUUAGUCUGUAGCUGGAUUUAUUCGAUAGGUGUAUCCUCUUUGUUGGAUUUACAAAUGAUUGAAAGAGAACAAUUCUUCAGGUUAUCUGUCAAGGGCUAAGCUAUGUACAAUGAAGGGGAUUCCACUGAAUCCUACACAACUGUCAGGAGUUCGAAUCCUACAAUAUCAUCACUUGUUUUGAGUCCUAAUACUCAGUUGAGUCUAACCUUAUUUUAAGUCAACUAUUUGAAAAGAAAAGUAGAUGGAUGAAAGAAUGUCACAUUAUAUUCUAAACA